CAGCCGCCGCGGUAAUACGUAGGGUGCGAGCGUUAAUCGGAUUUACUGGGCGUAAAGCGUGCGCAGGCGGCCCGUUAAGACAGGUGUGAAAUCCCUGGGCUCAACCUAGGAAUUGCGCUUGUGACUGGCGGGCUCGAGUACGGUAGAGGGGGGUGGAAUUCCUGGUGUAGCAGUGAAAUGCGUAGAGAUCCGGAGGAACACCGAUGGCGAAGGCAGCCCCCUGGGCCUGUACUGACGCUCAUGCACGAAAGCGUGGGGAGCAAACAGGAUUAGAUACCCGGGUAGUCCACGCCCUAAACGAUGGGUACUAGCCGUUUGGUGCGCGAUAGCGCUGAGUGGCGAAGCUAACGCGUGAAGUACCCCGCCUGGGGAGUACGGCCGCAAGGUUGAAACUUAAAGGAAUUGGCGGG
Molecule: ribosomal RNA, 410 nt
Filed under: uncultured microorganism
Description: bacterial SSU rRNA
Rfam family: Bacterial small subunit ribosomal RNA
Source: RNAcentral